AUAAUUAACUUGCACAACAAUUAUGUUGGAAUCUGGUCAGAGUAGGAAUACAGCAGCCAUAACAACCUCUAAUUGUGUGUGCUUUUUUUAUAUUUAA
Non-coding RNA from Firmicutes bacterium CAG:582, 97 nucleotides. It matches the Rfam family "Bacterial small signal recognition particle RNA". Rfam says of the family: The signal recognition particle (SRP) is a universally conserved ribonucleoprotein involved in the co-translational targeting of proteins to membranes. Archaeal SRP consists of a 7S RNA and homologues of the eukaryotic SRP19 and SRP54 proteins. Lineage: Bacteria; Bacillati; Bacillota. The record is from Rfam.